Molecule: ribosomal RNA, 267 nt
Filed under: Triticum aestivum (bread wheat)
Lineage: Eukaryota; Viridiplantae; Streptophyta; Magnoliopsida; Poales; Poaceae
Description: partial small subunit ribosomal RNA
Source: RNAcentral
CUCCUCCAGGACAUCGCCCUCUUACCUAUGGACGUGGCCGACUCUCCGGACGCCAUCUCCUGGCGCCUAGAUCCCUCCGGCUGCUUCUCCACUAAAUCCCUCUACGCGGCUAUUGCCCCCUCGUCAGCCCCGGAGCCCUUCGGUCUGAUCUGGGACAUCCGCCUCCCCCUAAAGAUUCGGAUCUUUCUUUGGCAAUGGAUCCGCGGCCGCCUCCCGACCGGCGUUGAGGUUCUUAAGCGCCAUGGUCCUAGCGAUGGAAUGUGCCCC